RNAcentral lists this long non-coding RNA (807 nucleotides) under Lynx canadensis (Canada lynx). Its description in RNAcentral is "lncRNA (ENSLCNG00005018860.1)". The record is from RNAcentral. Lineage: Eukaryota; Metazoa; Chordata; Mammalia; Carnivora; Felidae.
CUUCUGGUGUUUGUUGGUAAUCCUGGGCAUUCCUUGUCUUGUAGAUAUAUCACUCCAAUCUCUGCCUCCAUCUUUACGGCCACGAAGCAUCUUCACUGGAAAAAAUCUCUUUUUCCUUUAUGCUGUUCUGCAAGAGAGGAAUUAACUCAAACUAGAACUGAGGAGGUCUGCAAGGAAACAUAACAAGAAAUACAGCAUUUCUAAGACACUGACUGUUUUGGAUAUGGUCAAAUGUAUAGUUUACCUAUAGAUGUGAAACCAUGGAGAGCUACAUCAAGACCUGCUCAAGAUGACUGGACAUUUCUCCAGGAUGUGGAGACUAGAGGACGACAGUACUGGUUGUGGCUGCAUGUCUGACACUCCUGCGCCACUUUUCCUGAACGGUUUGAGUGCCCCUCCCCUCUCCCCCCACAAUCUCAUCCCAGUGACUCCUGAGGUCCGAAGCAUCUUCAGGAUCUACAGCAUCUCUGACGAUGUCCAUCAGGAGAAAGGAGUUGCUUAUUAUAGAGGUCUCUACCAUUGGCCGGUGCGCAGUUUGUGGUCAACACUUGAUACUCAGCGAGGCCCUGAACAGCCACUGAACUGAGGUGUUACUGUUAACAGAGGUGCCUCGUUUUCUUAGUAGCCCCUACCUGGACCCCUAAAUUGUGACCGUUGAGUGCCUGGAUUCAGGUGAGCUCAGGUGUUUUCCUUGUAUAACAACCGAUAAACGGGUUGCUUUAACAUGAGACUUUGUAAAUAGAAAUUGAGAAGUACCCAAACACUUUGAACUACACACGUUUAUUAAAUAGUUAACAAAGGCACAUC